Molecule: ribosomal RNA, 333 nt
Filed under: uncultured bacterium
Lineage: Bacteria
Description: bacterial SSU rRNA
Rfam family: Bacterial small subunit ribosomal RNA
Source: RNAcentral
CGUGUAGGCGGUCAGAUAAGUCUGGUGUGAAAGCCCUUGGCUUAACCAAGGAAUGUCGCUGGAAACUGUCUGGCUUGAGUACGAGAGAGGAGAGUGGAAUUCCCGGUGUAGAGGUGAAAUUCGUAGAUAUCGGGAGGAACACCAGUGGCGAAGGCGGCUCUCUGGAUCGAUACUGACGCUGAUACGCGAAAGCGUGGGGAGCAAACAGGAUUAGAUACCCUGGUAGUCCACGCUGUAAACGUUGGGCACUAGGUGUAGGAGGUAUUGACCCCUUCUGUGCCGAAGCUAACGCAUUAAGUGUCCCGCCUGGGGACUACGGCCGACAAGGUUAAA